UUCUUUUUAAUCUAUGGGUUGGACAAGAUUUUAGCAAAUACUUUGCUUCAGAGUUUAACACCUCUACUAGGUUAUGCCCUUUGAUGCCAUUCGGCCUUGCCAUGAUGAAGUUGAUAACCUGCUACUGUCACUACUAACAUGAGGUUGAACAACCCCAUCAUUCUAGAUGGAUAAAGAGGUUGAACAACCCUUGUUCCUAUUAGGCCUUGCCAUGACUAAGUUGAUAACCUCAUAUUGUCACUACUCAUGUAAGGUCGAACAACCCCACCACUAAAGUGAGAGGACUCAUGUCAUUUAGGUUGACAGGGUAUGCCACUUCUCUCAUUUUUAAUAUUUUUGAGAAGAAUAUUUUAGGAAUUUUUGUUGUUGAUGCAAAUAAAGCUGAUGUAACACGGAUUAGAUGGUGUGGUGAAAAGUGGAGGUGUUUCAAUUCUUAAAUUAUGGGUAUUUUUUUAUCUUAAACGAAAACUCCUAGGUCUUUUUUUGGUCAAGUAUUCUAAAAUUUCAACCAAUAUCUUCUUCAUUUUCAGCUAUGCCUUUAGAUGAACUUGAUGUUAAGUGGGCUUGCCCCCUAAAUAGACAAGAGUCCUUUUGGAAUUGGACAGUAUGCUGGUGCACAUGCUCAUGUAAAUGGUGCUCCAUUUUUUUUUAAAAAAAAAAAGAUCAAAGAGGUACUAAGGGGUGCAAACCUGAAUACAAAAAAAGAAGAUUUGAAAGAUGAAGAAGAAGAAUUUCCAUAUUGUUACUAAAAUCUGCUGUUGAAAAAUGCUUUUUAUUACAGAAACUUCGUUGAAGGGCAUAGUAAAUCUGAAGUGCUCAACCAAUAUGUGGUCUAUGCUUAGUGUUCUGACAACUCUUGGUGCUUUUGCUGCUUUAGCUUUUGUUACCCCACUUUGUUCUUGCUGUCUAAUGAGGGAAAUUCGAGAUGUCUCGAGGCAAAAUGCCUCCAAGGCACCAAGAGAGAAGAUGGUUUACGAAAAAUAAAUUAGUAAUUUACUUUGAGUGGCAUGAUUUUGUUCUACUUGAUCCUAGGAUCCGGAAUAAUGAAGCACCAUGCCUCAAAGGCAUGGUAGCAUCCUCUAUCUACUGAACCUUUAUUCAUCACCUACUAAAUUAUAUUUGACUAGUGCAUCGCACUUUUGUGUAAGCUUCUGUCAUAGGUGUGCUUAACAGCACGUUAUUGGCUGUGGUUUGUAUUUCUUGUCUUAAGUAACUCCAUUUUCUUCAACUGUUUAUUUUCUUGUGACAACUAGAUUCUUUUAAGUGGUCAGUUC
RNAcentral lists this long non-coding RNA (1274 nucleotides) under Carica papaya (papaya). RNAcentral describes it as "long non-coding RNA (CPAP_LNC013550)". The record is from RNAcentral. Lineage: Eukaryota; Viridiplantae; Streptophyta; Magnoliopsida; Brassicales; Caricaceae.